This 332-nucleotide ribosomal RNA is filed under the name uncultured Bacillota bacterium. RNAcentral describes it as "bacterial SSU rRNA". It matches the Rfam family "Bacterial small subunit ribosomal RNA", at positions 586 to 916 of the family's 1533-position model. The record is from RNAcentral. Lineage: Bacteria; Bacillati; Bacillota.
AGUCUGAAGUGAAAGCCCGGUGCUUAACGCCGGGACUGCUUUGGAAACUGUUUAGCUGGAGUGCCGGAGAGGUAAGCGGAAUUCCUAGUGUAGCGGUGAAAUGCGUAGAUAUUAGGAAGAACACCAGUGGCGAAGGCGGCUUACUGGACGGUAACUGAGGUUGAGGCUCGAAAGCGUGGGGAGCAAACAGGAUUAGAUACCCUGGUAGUCCACGCCGUAAACGAUGAUUGCUAGGUGUAGGUGGGUAUGGACCCAUCGGUGCCGCAGCUAACGCAAUAAGCAAUCCACCUGGGGAGUACGUUCGCAAGAAUGCAACUCAAAGGAAUUGACGG